CAGUCGCCGCGGGAAUACGAGGGGGGUAAGCGUUGUUCGGAUUUAUUGGGCGUAAAGGGUGCGUAGGCGGUUUGGCAAGUCUUGUGUGAAAUCUUCGGGCUCAACCCGAAGCCUGCACGAGAAACUACCGGGCUUGAGUAUUGGAGAGGUGAGUGGAAUUUCCGGUGUAGCGGUGAAAUGCGUAGGUAUCGGAAGGAACACCUGUGGCGAAAGCGGCUCACUGGACAAUAACUGACGCUGAUGCACGAAAGCUAGGGGAGCAAACAGGAUUAGAUACCCCUGUAGUCCCUGUCUCUUAUAC
This 301-nucleotide ribosomal RNA is filed under the name uncultured bacterium. RNAcentral's name for it is "partial 16S ribosomal RNA". It matches the Rfam family "Bacterial small subunit ribosomal RNA", at positions 509 to 807 of the family's 1533-position model. The record is from RNAcentral.